GCCCAGCUUGCUGGGUUGAUUAGUGGCGAACGGGUGAGUAACACGUGAGUAACCUGCCCCUGACUCUGGGAUAAGCGUUGGAAACGACGUCUAAUACUGGAUAUGAUCACUGGUCGCAUGGCCUGGUGGUGGAAAGAUUUUUUGGUUGGGGAUGGACUCGCGGCCUAUCAGCUUGUUGGUGAGGUAAUGGCUCACCAAGGCGACGACGGGUAGCCGGCCUGAGAGGGUGACCGGCCACACUGGGACUGAGACACGGCCCAGACUCCUACGGGAGGCAGCAGUGGGGAAUAUUGCACAAUGGGCGAAAGCCUGAUGCAGCAACGCCGCGUGAGGGAUGACGGCCUUCGGGUUGUAAACCUCUUUUAGUAGGGAAGAAGCGAAAGUGACGGUACCUGCAGAAAAAGCACCGGCUAACUACGUGCCAGCAGCCGCGGUAAUACGUAGGGUGCAAGCGUUGUCCGGAAUUAUUGGGCGUAAAGAGCUCGUAGGCGGUUUGUCGCGUCUGCUGUGAAAUCCCGAGGCUCAACCUCGGGCUUGCAGUGGGUACGGGCAGACUAGAGUGCGGUAGGGGAGAUUGGAAUUCCUGGUGUAGCGGUGGAAUGCGCAGAUAUCAGGAGGAACACCGAUGGCGAAGGCAGAUCUCUGGGCCGUAACUGACGCUGAGGAGCGAAAGCAUGGGGAGCGAACAGGAUUAGAUACCCUGGUAGUCCAUGCCGUAAACGUUGGGCGCUAGAUGUAGGGACCUUUCCACGGUUUCUGUGUCGUAGCUAACGCAUUA
This 778-nucleotide ribosomal RNA is filed under the name Curtobacterium flaccumfaciens. RNAcentral describes it as "bacterial SSU rRNA". It matches the Rfam family "Bacterial small subunit ribosomal RNA", at positions 73 to 862 of the family's 1533-position model. The record is from RNAcentral. Lineage: Bacteria; Bacillati; Actinomycetota; Actinomycetes; Micrococcales; Microbacteriaceae.